UGCCAGCAGCCGCGGUAAUACGAACCGUGCGAACGUUAUUCGGAAUCACUGGGCUUAAAGAGUGCGUAGGCGGCUUGGCAGGUGGGGUGUGAAAUCCCUCAGCUCAACUGAGGAACUGCGCUCCAAACCGCUAGGCUUGAGGAAGAUAGAGGUGAGCGGAACUUAUGGUGGAGCGGUGAAAUUCGUUGAUAUCAUCAGGAACACCGGUGGCGAAAGCGGCUCUCUGGGUCUCUUCUGACGCUGAGGCACGAAAUCUUGGGGAGCAAACAGGAUUAGAUA
This 279-nucleotide ribosomal RNA is filed under the name uncultured bacterium. Its description in RNAcentral is "partial 16S ribosomal RNA". It matches the Rfam family "Bacterial small subunit ribosomal RNA", at positions 506 to 784 of the family's 1533-position model. The record is from RNAcentral.